RNAcentral lists this ribosomal RNA (460 nucleotides) under uncultured bacterium. RNAcentral's name for it is "partial 16S ribosomal RNA". It matches the Rfam family "Bacterial small subunit ribosomal RNA", at positions 338 to 795 of the family's 1533-position model. The record is from RNAcentral.
CCUACGGGAGGCAGCAGUGAGGAAUAUUGGUCAAUGGACGAGAGUCUGAACCAGCCAAGUAGCGUGAAGGAUGACUGCCCUAUGGGUUGUAAACUUCUUUUAUAUGGGAAUAAAAUGUUCCACGUGUGGGAUUUUGUAUGUACCAUAUGAAUAAGGAUCGGCUAAUUCCGUGCCAGCAGCCGCGGUAAUACGGAGGAUCCGAGCGUUAUCCGGAUUUAUUGGGUUUAAAGGGAGCGUAGGUGGAUUGUUAAGUCAGUUGUGAAAGUUUGCGGCUCAACCGUAAAAUUGCAGUUGAAACUGGCAGUCUUGAGUACAGUAGAGGUGGGCGGAAUUCGUGGUGUAGCGGUGAAAUGCUUAGAUAUCACGAAGAACUCCGAUUGCGAAGGCAGCUCACUGGACUGCAACUGACACUGAGGCUCGAAAGUGUGGGUAUCGAACAGGAUUAGAUACCCCGGUAGUC